AACGAACGCUGGCGGCGCGUCUUAAACAUGCAAGUCGAACGGCAGGAAGGGGCUUGCCCCUUCUGAGAGUGGCGGACUGGUGAGUAACACGUGGGUGACAUACCUUUUAGUUGGGGAUAGCUAUUAGAAAUAGUAGGUAAUACCGAAUGUGACCGUACCUGUUAGAGGGGUACGAGGAAAGGAGCUAAGGCUUCGCUAAAAGAAUGGCUCGCGGCCCAUUAUGCUCGUUGGUGAGGUAACGGCCCACCAAGGCGAUGAUGGGUAUCCGGCCUGAGAGGGUGAACGGACACAUUGGGACUGAGAUACGGCCCAGACUUCUACGGGAGGCAGCAGUUAAGAAUAUUCCGCAAUGGACGAAAGUCUGACGGAGCGACGCCGCGUGGAUGAAGAAUGCCGAAAGGUUGUAAAAUCCUUUUAAGCCUGAUGAAUAAGCACAGCAGGGAAUGAUGGUGCGGUGACCGUAGGGCUUGAAUAAGCACCGGCUAAUUACGUG
Molecule: ribosomal RNA, 493 nt
Filed under: uncultured bacterium
Lineage: Bacteria
Description: partial 16S ribosomal RNA
Rfam family: Bacterial small subunit ribosomal RNA
Source: RNAcentral